This 537-nucleotide long non-coding RNA is filed under the name Homo sapiens (human). Its description in RNAcentral is "HSALNT0316583". The stretch from base 1 to 113 matches the Rfam family "SOX2 overlapping transcript exon 3", at positions 164 to 276 of the family's 276-position model. Lineage: Eukaryota; Metazoa; Chordata; Mammalia; Primates; Hominidae. The record is from RNAcentral.
GAGAAGUGAUCAAGCUUGGGCUGACAAGAGGCUCAGGGAGCCCUCACGUUCUUUCGCUUUUUUACCUGCCAAUCAAACUGCUACAAGACAACACCCUGAUCUGGCAUGGACAUUCUCAAUACCUUCACAGAGGUGAAGAAGCAGCAACCAAAUGAAUUAGACAGCAACAUGAUUCCUAGAGAAUGGCAAGACCAAUUCUUCAACUACUUCUUCAGCAUUUCUGAAACAUAUGGAAGAUGGCCCAUUGUGCUCUCUUAAUUCUUUGAUAAUCUGGACAUUGACUUUUCCAUUAUAUGACCUGGGCUUGUGGGCAUCAUGUCAUAAUGCACCUGUUCAGACAUCUCCCUGUACCAAUAUGGAUCACUUGAAGAGACUCCUUUGCCCCCAUCAAAAAGGAUACAGUUGUGUAUCUCUUCCAUUUUUGUUUACAGUGCCUAAAAUUAUUUGAGCAGUUUUUCACCUCUUCUCUGAUAAACACCUUAUUAGUCCUUAAAAAGAAAAGAAAAAAGGAAAAUAAAACUUUUAUUGAGAUCCUAA